Molecule: long non-coding RNA, 1442 nt
Organism: Ailuropoda melanoleuca (giant panda)
Lineage: Eukaryota; Metazoa; Chordata; Mammalia; Carnivora; Ursidae
Exons: 5
Source: RefSeq, a predicted model, not a curated record
UUCAGUUCGGAUGGCCCCUUAAAGACCCAGACAGGGGACGCCUCUGGUUUCAGCAGCUCACUCCGCUGAGUUAUUGAUUGCAGGCAGCAACAAUCCCUCCGGGUGAUUUGUGUGGAAAGUGAAUCCGCGCUGGCUGGGCGUUCACAGAGGCGCAACAGCCGCAACGCCAUCCAAUUAUUGCCAGUCGUCCCCUCCAACACCGCUCUCCACCUAUAUACUCCUUUCUCUGCCCAUCGCCACUUCCCCCCACCCACUUUUCUCAGAGCGGACCGACCUACCUACUCCUUCUCAGCCCGUCUCCGCUUCCCCCCACCCACUUUCCUCAGAGCGGACGGAGCCGAGGGGGCGGGGGCUCCCUCCCGGGAGCGUUUCUAGAGCUCGGAGGCAGCUAGUAGGGGUUUCAUUGUCCACAUGUUUAAAGUCUAAUAGAAAAAUAUAUCACUGGAUGUGAAGUUGGGGGACAGAUCCAAGUGUACAUCUACAUCUUCACAUCGGUGACCUUGGGGUGACAUUUGGCCCACAGACAGUUGACAGCUGUCAGUCAGGUGGCUGGUCAACGAGGAGAUACAUUUAAAGCUGCCAAAGGCACCACUUUCAGAUAAAAACAUAGACCUGAAUGGCAUCAUCCAGUAUCCAAGGAAACCAUGAGGAAGAAUAGGAUGGUAAGAAGGCAUAUAGAAGGGAUGCCAGUGGUCAAGAGAGCCUUUCUGGAAGAAGUGUUAACCGAACUUGAGGACGUCAAGAACUCGUCUAGAGAUCAAUGGAUAGAGGAGAUGUAGCUGAGAUGAUAGUGUAUAUACAGUCAUCCAAUUCUGCCCCCACAAUGUCUGCCAUAUUUUGUUAUAACUUUAAAAUAGGAACAGCAGUAAGACACCAAGUGAUAAGAGACAAUCUGAUUUUCUGGAUCUCACCUACUUUAAAUUCUGCCCUUUAAAAAAUUAUGUUCGGAUAUUUGCUAGUUCAUCUUAUUUAUAAUUUUGAGAAAUAUUAUCACUCGUAACUCAUUGCAACAGCUGUGUUGUUCUUUUAGGGAUAAAUCAGUUUCUUUUCAAGAAAUACUUAGGAUGGUUUACAAACAAUUUGCUAUUACUUUUAUUAUUAUUUGUGCUAGUAUGAAGAAUCCUUAGGAGAUCUUUGAAAAAUUAUUUUCAUCUAGAGAUAACAGUGUAGAAGAAUAAAUUGCUUGGCAAAGCGUUUGAAGCAUGUGGGCAGAGGUACAAGUAUUUACUGCAUUUGCAAGUUCCGUUAUGACUCUAUAAAAUGCAGCAUCGUUUGUCAGUAAAUCAAAGCUUGUACAAGUGGCAAUUGUAAAUGCAGUUGGUUGCAAUAUCAAGAGAAUGGGGAUUAAGAGUGUAACUGAAAUUCCUUUUAUGAUAAAUUAUCUAGCUCCUGGCUACCGUGUAUGAGCUCUAUUAACUGCCUAUAAAUUGUUCAUCAUAAAA